Molecule: ribosomal RNA, 429 nt
Filed under: uncultured bacterium
Lineage: Bacteria
Description: bacterial SSU rRNA
Rfam family: Bacterial small subunit ribosomal RNA
Source: RNAcentral
UGGGGAAUUGUUCGCAAUGGGCGAAAGCCUGACGACGCAACGCCGCGUGGAGGACGAAGAUCUUCGGGUCGUAAACUCCUGUCGAGCGGGAAGAAUGCUUCGAGGGUGAAUAAUCCUCGAAAUUGACGGUACCGCUAAAGGAAGCCCCGGCUAACUCCGUGCCAGCAGCCGCGGUAAUACGGGGGGGGCAAGCGUUGUUCGGAAUUACUGGGCGUAAAGGGCUCGUAGGCGGCCAACUAAGUCGGAUGUGAAAUCCCCAGGCUCAACCUGGGAACUGCAUCCGAUACUGGAUGGCUUGAAUCCGGGAGAGGGAUGCAGAAUUCCAGGUGUAGCGGUGAAAUGCGUAGAUAUCUGGAGGAAUACCGGUGGCGAAGGCGGCAUCCUGGACCGGCAUUGACGCUGAGGAGCGAAAGCUAGGGGAGCAAACGG